This is a non-coding RNA of Poronia punctata, 93 nucleotides long. NCBI's taxonomy places the organism in Eukaryota, Fungi, Ascomycota, Sordariomycetes, Xylariales, Xylariaceae. The record is from the annotation of a GenBank genome assembly.
GCCCCACUGGCGCAAUGGUUAGCGCGCUUGACUUCUAAAUCUUCCAAGAGUAGAGGUAUCAAGAGGUUGCGAGUUCGAGUCUCGCGUGGGGUU